CCUACGGGAGGCUGCAGUGAGGAAUAUUGGUCAAUGGACGAGAGUCUGAACCAGCCAAGUAGCGUGAAGGAUGACUGCCCUAUGGGUUGUAAACUUCUUUUAUAUGGGAAUAAAACGUUCCACGUGUGGGAUUUUGUAUGUACCAUAUGAAUAAGGAUCGGCUAACUCCGUGCCAGCAGCCGCGGUAAUACGGAGGAUCCGAGCGUUAUCCGGAUUUAUUGGGUUUAAAGGGAGCGUAGGUGGAUUGUUAAGUCAGUUGUGAAAGUUUGCGGCUUAACCGUAAAAUUGCAGUUGAAACUGGCAGUCUUGAGUACAGUAGAGGUGGGCGGAAUUCGUGGUGUAGCGGUGAAAUGCUUAGAUAUCACGAAGAACUCCGAUUGCGAAGGCAGUUCACUGGACUGCAACUGACACUGAGGCUCGAAAGUGUGGGUAUCAAACAGGAUUAGAUACCCGUGUAGUC
RNAcentral lists this ribosomal RNA (460 nucleotides) under uncultured bacterium. RNAcentral's name for it is "partial 16S ribosomal RNA". It matches the Rfam family "Bacterial small subunit ribosomal RNA", at positions 338 to 795 of the family's 1533-position model. The record is from RNAcentral.